This 229-nucleotide ribosomal RNA is filed under the name uncultured bacterium. RNAcentral describes it as "partial 16S ribosomal RNA". It matches the Rfam family "Bacterial small subunit ribosomal RNA", at positions 118 to 347 of the family's 1533-position model. The record is from RNAcentral.
UGGGCAACCUGCCCUCAGCUCUGGGAUAACUCCAAGAAAUUGGGGCUAAUACCGGAUAUGACUGCUGACCGCAUGGUCUGGUGGUGGAAAGAUUUAUCGGCUGGGGAUGGGCCCGCGGCCCAUCAGCUUGUUGGUGGGGUAGUGGCCUACCAAGGCGACGACGGGUAGCCGGCCUGAGAGGGUGACCGGCCACACUGGGACUGAGACACGGCCCAGACUCCUACGGGAG